CCUUAUUAAGAGGGGCACGGAAUAAAAUUAGAAACUAAUAUAUGCUGAAAUAACAACAAGAUCUUGACUUCAUGGUCAUUGGAAGGCUCUAUAAUGUAUUUACCGAUCUCUAAUUUUUAUUACAGGGAUAAUGAUAUAUCCUAUUGACCUAUUUAAAAUCAACCCACAACACUAUCACCAGAUGUUUUCCCUUAUUCUUAUAUUUAAAAGAUAAAAUUUGAAUUUUUAACCUUAAGUUCGCAGUUGAUUUUGAGCUUUUUUCAUUGAAGUUUAUUUUCUAGCCUUAGAUUUUAGAUUGCUAAGAAUAUGUAUAUAAAAGGUUUUUUUCAUAAAAUAUUUUUUAUUUAAAAAUAUAUCAUAUGGAAAAGUCAAACAAUUAUCCCUAUGAUAUGGAUCUGCCACACAGUCAAUUCUUGCCCAUGAGUUCGUCAGUAAAAAUUAAUUUCAAUGCUAGUCUGACCAUGCGGUAAUGAUAAGUGGCUUCAUUGUUUGACUUGAUGCUUGUGCGGAAGCUUGACCUUCACACGAUUUCUAGGCAUAUAUGCGUGCUGGUAGUAGAACUGAGACUAAUCUGUUCAACUGUGGCUCGAAUAUGCAGAUUCUUAGUUUCUCUAAUACUCCUGAUGCCUCCCAGACUUAGGGCUGUGUGAUGUUGAUACACGACAUAACAACACAAGGGAUGUUUGCACCUUUACAGAUGCAGUAGAGCACUUGGAAUACACUGAAGGUUAUGUGCAGGAUUCUGCUUGUGUGAUGUGUUGCUCAAAAGAAUUCUGCUUUGCAGUUCUUUUAUUGGUGUAGUCACAUAAUUUCCAUUGAAGGUGCGUACGAGUGAUCAACCAGCCACAAUUACACUGC
This 858-nucleotide long non-coding RNA is filed under the name Oryza brachyantha (malo sina). Its description in RNAcentral is "long non-coding RNA (OBRA_LNC002947)". The record is from RNAcentral. Lineage: Eukaryota; Viridiplantae; Streptophyta; Magnoliopsida; Poales; Poaceae.